GCUUGUCUCAAAGAUUAAGCCAUGCAUGUCUAAGUACAAGCCUCAGUAAGGUGAAACCGCGAAUGGCUCAUUAAAUCACACCUAAUCUACUGGAAAGUUACUAGUUACUUGGAUAACUGAGGUAAUUCUUGAGCUAAUACAUGCUGGCGUGCCCGACUUUUGCGGAAGGGCGGUAUUUAUUAGAUAACAAGCCAAUAUUCCUCCGGGUCUAUUGUGGUGAUUCAUAAUAACUGAUCGAAUCGCAAGGCCUUUGGCCGCGAUAAGUCAUUCAAGUUUCUGCCCCAUCAGCUUUCGAUGGUAGUGUAUUGGACUACCAUGGCGUUCACGGGUAACGGAGAAUUAGGGUUCGAUUCCGGAGAGGGAGCCUGAGAAACGGCUACCACAUCUAAGGAAGGCAGCAGG
RNAcentral lists this ribosomal RNA (402 nucleotides) under uncultured Strombidiidae. Its description in RNAcentral is "partial small subunit ribosomal RNA". It matches the Rfam family "Eukaryotic small subunit ribosomal RNA", at positions 30 to 432 of the family's 1831-position model. The record is from RNAcentral. Lineage: Eukaryota; Ciliophora; Spirotrichea; Strombidiidae.